RNAcentral lists this ribosomal RNA (1890 nucleotides) under Staphylococcus aureus. Its description in RNAcentral is "partial 23S ribosomal RNA". It matches the Rfam family "Bacterial large subunit ribosomal RNA", at positions 513 to 2407 of the family's 2925-position model. Lineage: Bacteria; Bacillati; Bacillota; Bacilli; Caryophanales; Staphylococcaceae. The record is from RNAcentral.
GGUGAAAAGCACCCCGGAAGGGGAGUGAAAUAGAACCUGAAACCGUGUGCUUACAAGUAGUCAGAGCCCGUUAAUGGGUGAUGGCGUGCCUUUUGUAGAAUGAACCGGCGAGUUACGAUUUGAUGCAAGGUUAAGCAGUAAAUGUGGAGCCGUAGCGAAAGCGAGUCUGAAUAGGGCGUUUAGUAUUUGGUCGUAGACCCGAAACCAGGUGAUCUACCCUUGGUCAGGUUGAAGUUCAGGUAACACUGAAUGGAGGACCGAACCGACUUACGUUGAAAAGUGAGCGGAUGAACUGAGGGUAGCGGAGAAAUUCCAAUCGAACCUGGAGAUAGCUGGUUCUCUCCGAAAUAGCUUUAGGGCUAGCCUCAAGUGAUGAUUAUUGGAGGUAGAGCACUGUUUGGACGAGGGGCCCCUCUCGGGUUACCGAAUUCAGACAAACUCCGAAUGCCAAUUAAUUUAACUUGGGAGUCAGAACAUGGGUGAUAAGGUCCGUGUUCGAAAGGGAAACAGCCCAGACCACCAGCUAAGGUCCCAAAAUAUAUGUUAAGUGGAAAAGGAUGUGGCGUUGCCCAGACAACUAGGAUGUUGGCUUAGAAGCAGCCAUCAUUUAAAGAGUGCGUAAUAGCUCACUAGUCGAGUGACACUGCGCCGAAAAUGUACCGGGGCUAAACAUAUUACCGAAGCUGUGGAUUGUCCUUUGGACAAUGGUAGGAGAGCGUUCUAAGGGCGUUGAAGCAUGAUCGUAAGGACAUGUGGAGCGCUUAGAAGUGAGAAUGCCGGUGUGAGUAGCGAAAGACGGGUGAGAAUCCCGUCCACCGAUUGACUAAGGUUUCCAGAGGAAGGCUCGUCCGCUCUGGGUUAGUCGGGUCCUAAGCUGAGGCCGACAGGCGUAGGCGAUGGAUAACAGGUUGAUAUUCCUGUACCACCUAUAAUCGUUUUAAUCGAUGGGGGGACGCAGUAGGAUAGGCGAAGCGUGCGAUUGGAUUGCACGUCUAAGCAGUAAGGCUGAGUAUUAGGCAAAUCCGGUACUCAUUAAGGCUGAGCUGUGAUGGGGAGAAGACAUUGUGUCUUCGAGUCGUUGAUUUCACACUGCCGAGAAAAGCCUCUAGAUAGAAAAUAGGUGCCCGUACCGCAAACCGACACAGGUAGUCAAGAUGAGAAUUCUAAGGUGAGCGAGCGAACUCUCGUUAAGGAACUCGGCAAAAUGACCCCGUAACUUCGGGAGAAGGGGUGCUCUUUAGGGUUAACGCCCAGAAGAGCCGCAGUGAAUAGGCCCAAGCGACUGUUUAUCAAAAACACAGGUCUCUGCUAAACCGUAAGGUGAUGUAUAGGGGCUGACGCCUGCCCGGUGCUGGAAGGUUAAGAGGAGUGGUUAGCUUCUGCGAAGCUACGAAUCGAAGCCCCAGUAAACGGCGGCCGUAACUAUAACGGUCCUAAGGUAGCGAAAUUCCUUGUCGGGUAAGUUCCGACCCGCACGAAAGGCGUAACGAUUUGGGCACUGUCUCAACGAGAGACUCGGUGAAAUCAUAGUACCUGUGAAGAUGCAGGUUACCCGCGACAGGACGGAAAGACCCCGUGGAGCUUUACUGUAGCCUGAUAUUGAAAUUCGGCACAGCUUGUACAGGAUAGGUAGGAGCCUUUGAAACGUGAGCGCUAGCUUACGUGGAGGCGCUGGUGGGAUACUACCCUAGCUGUGUUGGCUUUCUAACCCGCACCACUUAUCGUGGUGGGAGACAGUGUCAGGCGGGCAGUUUGACUGGGGCGGUCGCCUCCUAAAAGGUAACGGAGGCGCUCAAAGGUUCCCUCAGAAUGGUUGGAAAUCAUUCAUAGAGUGUAAAGGCAUAAGGGAGCUUGACUGCGAGACCUACAAGUCGAGCAGGGUCGAAAGAC